GAUGAACGCUGACAGAAUGCUUAACACAUGCAAGUCGACCUGAAUGUGGGUUCUUAACUUAGGUUCGGGUGGCGGACGGGUGAGUAACGCGUAAAGAACUCGCCUCACAGCUAGGGACAACACUUGGAAACGAAUGCUAAUACCUAAUAUUAUGAUAAUAGGGCAUCCUAUAAUUAUGAAAGCUAUAAGCGCUGUGAGAGAGCUUUGCGUCCUAUUAGCUAGUUGGAGGGGUAACGGCUCACCAAGGCGUUGAUGGGUAGCCGGCCUGAGAGGGUGAUCGGCCACAAGGGGACAGAGACGCGGCCGUUACUCCUAGGGGAGGGAGCAGGGGAGAAUAUUGGAAAAGGGACCGGGAGUCUGAUGCAGCACUUCUGUGGGCAUGAUGACGUUUUUGGGAAUAUAAGGUGCUUUCAGUUGGGAAGAAACAAAGAACGGAACCAAUAGAGGAAGUCACGGCUACUUACGU
RNAcentral lists this ribosomal RNA (466 nucleotides) under uncultured bacterium. RNAcentral's name for it is "partial 16S ribosomal RNA". It matches the Rfam family "Bacterial small subunit ribosomal RNA", at positions 28 to 506 of the family's 1533-position model. The record is from RNAcentral.